Molecule: long non-coding RNA, 6511 nt
Filed under: Phaseolus vulgaris (common bean)
Lineage: Eukaryota; Viridiplantae; Streptophyta; Magnoliopsida; Fabales; Fabaceae
Description: long non-coding RNA (PVUL_LNC000001)
Source: RNAcentral
ACUCUGAAUGCCAAGUCGACAAUGAACUCAAAUCAUGCUCUCCUCCUCGCUCGCAAGUGAUUUUGUUAUUCAUCUCCCUUUAUUUGGUCGCCAUUGGGCAAGGUGGACAUAAGCCCUGUGUUCAAGCUUUUGGAGCAGAUCAAUUCGAUGAACAACAUCCAAAGGAGCACAAAGAUAGAAGCUCGUUCUUUAAUUGGUGGUAUUUUACUAUGUGUGCUGGAUGCUUGGCGACCCUUUCGAUCUUGAACUAUAUACAAGACAACCUUAGUUGGGUUCUUGGAUUUGGAAUUCCUUGUAUUGCCAUGAUUCUUGCAUUACUUGUUUUCUUGUUAGGAACAAUGACCUACAGGUUUAACAUUCAGCAGCAAGACGAAAGACCCUUUCGCAGAAUUGGCCGUGUAUUUGUUGCUGCUAUAAGAAAUCGCAGAAUUGGCCGUGAUGGAAUACUUCCUAAACAAAGUUCUGAACAAUUCGAGUAAGAAUCACAAUGCUAAUUUCUGCUGGUUUUGUAGUCUUUUUUUUUGCAUUCUUAGUUCCUGUAGUGAUAUGGGCUGAGUCUGAAGUGGUAUAUUGAGGCAUCAUCUGAUCUCGUUAUAAAAAGUUGUUAUACCACAUUAAGAACAAAUCGUGAAAAUCCUGAGUGAUCAGCAUAGGAAUAAACAAGAGUAUUUAUGACAGAGAUAUAACUGCCAGUUAUAAGAACAGACAUAUAACUGCCAGUUAUAAGAACAGACAUAACGAAAGUAAAGGGAGAAGAAACAAGAUAUAUAGGCGGAUCACACACUAGUUACUAGUUAAGAAUAUACUUUUAGUUAUACUAAAUGUUUUAAGUCUAAGGUCGCUACGGAUUCUUGUCUGUAACAGUCCCAUUUGAGUUUUGUUUUUACGCUAUGUGCAACUUCCUUUACAGUGUUUUGCACAUUGACAGGUUCCUUAACAAAGCGUUGUUGGAGUUAAAGGACAAGGAUUCCAUGGAAGAGGAGAGUUGUAGCCCAAGUGAGGUAGAAGAAGCUAAAGCAGUACUAAGGCUGGUUCCCAUUUGGGCUUCAACUCUGAUUUAUGCAGUGGUGUUUGCUCAAGUUCCAACAUUCUUUACUAAGCAAGGGGUUACUCUGAAGAGAACAAUAUUACCCGGCAUUGACAUACCUCCUGCUUCUCUUCAAACGCUCAUGACUGUGGCCAUUGUUUUCUUCAGUCCCAUCUAUGACCGCUUAUUUGUGCCACUGGCAAGAGCUAUCACUGGAAAACCCUCAGGCAUCACAAUGCUGCAAAGAAUUGGAACUGGAAUUUUAAUAUCCGUGUCUAGUAUAGUAGUUGCAGCCCUUGUUGAGACCAAGAGAUUGAAAAUAGCUCAAGAGUCUGGUCUUGUUGAUGAUGCUGAAGCAAUUGUUCCGAUGAGUAUAUGGUGGUUGGUUCCCCAAUAUUUGUUGUUCGGAAUGUCUGAAGUUUUUACCAUGGUUGGUCUACAAGAAUUUUUCUAUGACCAGGUCCCAAAUGAACUGAGAAGCAUGGGUCUUGCUCUGUACUUGAGCAUAUUUGGUGCUGGGAACUUUAUAAGCAGCUUUCUGAUUUCUGUGAUAGAGGAAGUGACAGGGAAAGAAGAUAGUUGGUUUGCUAAUAAUCUGAACAAGGCGCAUCUUAAUUACUUUUACUGGCUACUUGCUGCUCUCAGUGUCAUGGGAUUGGCCUUCUUCACUUUCUUUAGUAAAUCUUACAUUUACAAUAACAAAGGUAUCAGACGACAAUAGACAAUUCUUCUUUUUCAUAGCUAUAUGGAGUGAAAAUUUUAUUUUGAUUGUCCAGGUAAACCCUCUUAUUCAGUGUACCUGUUGUUGUAUUUGGACUUUAAAAUAUAAACGACUUGUGUUUAAAAAAAUAUAUGGAGUUAGACAGUGAAUUAAGAGUAAUGGUCUAUUUUAUUGUAUGAAUUGAGCUAAUCUAGCCCUUAAGAAUGAGGGCCAAUGUGAAGGGUGUCAAACAGUCAUACCACCUAAAGCAUUCAGAACCUCAAAUCAUCCUUUAUUUAGACCAUGUUUGGUUGAGGUUGAGAGUGGAAAGGGAAAGAAAAGAACGAAAAGAUACUCGCGCAAGUUAGAUUCUUUGAAUUUAAGAAAGUUAAAAGUGAGUAAUGAAAAAUUUGUAAAUUAUAUGAUUGGCGUGACUAAAAAAGAUAUUAAAAUAAUUAUAUAACUUAGAAAUUUAUGAUAAUACUCUUAUCUUAAAGUUGAAAAUGUUAAUAUAUUUUUAUUAAAAACUAAAUGUUUAUAUGUAUCAAUGUUUAUAUGUUAUAGAAAAAUUAGUUUGAAGUUUGUAAUUAUAGAAAAAAAUUGAGACUUAAAAAUUUGGGUAGAACCAAUAUUAUUAAUUAAAGGUGGAUUAUAUUUGUUAUAUUUGGACCAUGGUUAUGGAAAAGAAAUGUGAAAAUAGGUGUACAUGAAAUAUAAUAAUUGUCUAACUUAUACUAGGAUUUAUCAUCGUAUUUUAGCCAUUCACAUGGUGUUCAAUCCAUGAAUUUAAACUCAUCAAUAAUUCUUAAACUCAAACAAUUGAAUAAAUUUUUUUAAUGUUUAGAGACAUAAUUACAAAAAAGGAAAAUCUAUGAUCAAUAAGUUAUACUUAAAAACUAGCUAUAUUCUUGUUCUAGUCAAAAGUACCUCAAUAUCAUUCUUAUGGUUUCUUGCUAAAACAUUUAGAAUUGAGUAAGUUUCUCCAUAUUGGUAGAUACAGUUAGUUGUUUUGUUAUUCUAAGGUCUUUAACCAAUAUCAUUUAUCUCUUAAAAGUUUGUAUUUUUCCCAAUCAAUUUCAAAUAUAGCAGUUCUUGUGAUUUUUCUCUAAAAUUGCGACUAGUUUUAUUGAAUCUCUUUAUUAGUGAUUAAUGACCAUAUAACUAACUCAUUAGAUUUAUGAACUCUGAAUCCCCUGAAUCAUUAAGCUUUCUGCGAAAAUCAAAGCUUUCUGAAAAAUGCACAGCAGAAGCUCACAUCUGAGAAUUGAGGUCAAGUUGGUUUAAGUAAAGAAUAUACAUGCAACAAGAUUCUGGCAUCCAACCAAUUGUUGAUUUAUUCACAAUGAAUAGCAUCUAAUAUCAAUUCCAAACAUACAUUAAUUUUAAGGGUUUUGUUAUUGAGUUUCCAAGGCCCCGUUAAGGGGCUGUUAAUAAACUGUUAGAUACUUAACAAGUAUGAAAUGGUGGGUUAUUGAUACAAUAAUUAGGUUCCUUUUCAUAAUAGUUUUUACUUUUGUUUCCUUAACUGGUUAUCUAGAAAAAUGCUUAGCGAAUUCCUAAUUUUAAAAUGAAAUAGUGGUGUUAAGAUAAGACGGAAAUAGAACCUUAUCCAUGUUUGGCACAAGUUCUUGAAGCUUUCUAACAGGUGGCCGGAGUUGAGCGGAAGCUGGGAAGUCUGGCGGCGGAAUUGGGUUGCACGGCCGUGAUCGUGAUGUGUGGGGGGUGGGGGAUCGGAGGUGGAGCAGAGUAGAGCAGAACAGAGCCUCUGUUCUCUCCUAAUGGAUUAGUGGACCUCACCUUCCAUCUCUCUCCUCCAAUCCACUUCACCCUAUUGCAAGGGUCCCACCUUUCACCUUCACCUUCACCUGAAUCAAUUAUUGGUUUUUAAUAAUGAUUAGGAUAAAAAUAAUUUUAUUCAGAAAUGAAUUGGAAAGUUUGGAAGAGGUGUAUAAGGGCUAAAGGGGAGAUAUUUAGGGGGAUUUAUUAGGAAGAGUGGAAAAAAAAGGGUGAGAAAUUAAGGUGAAGAGAAAUCGGAGGAUGGGGAAGGGAUUGGAAGAAGCAGUGGGAGCAGAGGAGGAGGAGGAGAGGGACGAUGUGGUGGAUGGUGCGGUGGACUUCAGAGGUGGAACCGCCGUGAGAUCCAAAUCUGGGUCGUGGAGAUCCGCGGGGCUUAUCAUAGGUAAGGUAGUGAUUAAUUGAAGUUGAAAUUGAAUUAAGGAGGAGUUUAACAUUAACAUGUGUGAAAUCGGAAUCAGGUGUGGAAGUGGCGGAGAGAAUUGCGUAUUAUGGGAUUCAGGGGAACAUGAUAUCGUAUCUCACCGGACCUCUCCGUCAGAGCACGGCCACCGCCGCAGAGAACAUCAAUGUCUGGUCGGGAACUGCUUCCUUGCUUCCUCUGCUUGGGGCUUUCCUCGCCGAUUCCUUUCUCGGCCGCUACCGCACUAUCAUACUCGCUUCCCUCGUCUACAUCCUGGUCACUCACUCACUCAUUCUUUCAAUUUCCUAUUUUAACAUCAAGGAUAUUUAAUAUAUUUCAAUAAUUUAUUAUGUUCAAUACUGAAUUUAGCAACUAAAAUAAUAAAAAAUCACGAAUAUCUAAUUUAAUACAGUAAUAAGUAAAUUACUUUUUAUUCAUACUAAUCCCUAUCAUAAAUAGGAAAAAUAACUUUUAGUCCUUAGGUUGACUUGAUAUUAAUAUUUUCUUUUAAAAUAUAAGUGAGAAUAAUGAAAUGAUUGUCGUGUAGCCAGUUUCGUUAUUAUUGAACUGGUUUCAAUUUUGUUAGAUUUUUUUUUAAAAUAUCAAUUUUGUAUGCUCAUCAAUUACAAAUACUAUUCACUAUUCAGACGGUCAAAUUUUUCUUCGAGUUAUAACUAUUUAACAAGUUUAUUGAUGGUAAUAAUUGCUAAGUAUUAGUUAGUGAAUCUAAUUAAAGUUUUUAACUAUCAUAAGAAUAAAUAUGUAUAUUUUUUUUUAAAUAGUUUCAUUUUUAUUAUAUAUUUUCUACUCUUGUUUGUUUUGAAUUUCAAGGUAACAUUUAACUUAACUAUAGUCUUGAAAACUUCUUUAAAAUUAAAGUAAAUAAAAAAUUGAAAAUAAAGUUAAAAUUACGAAUGGUUAAAAACUACUCAUUGUCUACAAGAAUUUAUAAAGUUUCCCAGCACUUUGGCAUAACUACUAUUUUUUUAUAUAUAUUUUAUAGCCGAGUCAAACGCCAUGUUAAACGUAUUUUCAGUGGUAAUAGUAGUAAUAAUAAUUACACUUUUACAUUUCUCUUAAAUUUUUUCAGGAUGUAUACUAUUUUUGAAAAACUGGUUUCAAUUAAUUUUACAAAGUAAUGCUAAUAUAUUUAAUUUAUUCAUUUGAUUGCUAAAAAAACGUAAUUUAUUUCAACAUAUAAUCUUUAAUAAUACUAAAAUGUCUUUUUGUACUUUGGUUUUUAACUUAAACAUGUUUAAUCACCCUCAAAACAUAAACAAUUUCACGUGAUGCUUUAAAAUUGCUAUUGCAAUUAAAUUCAGUGGUGUUUUGGUAAUAAGACCAGAAAAAAAAUGUGUCGUUCAUAAUAAGAUGAUGUUAUUAUCAUCGAACUGUUUGCACUUGGGUUGCUUCUGCUUCACUUCGAUGUUUGAACAGGAACUUCAAUUUUAGGGCUUUCUUAAUUGAAGGCGCCAAAUCAUUGAAAUUUAUUUCGCUCAUGAACGACUUAGUUAAAGAAAAGAUUGUGCAUUCUGUAUUAUUUAUUUUAAAUAAUAGGUUAUAGUUUGAUAUGAUGAUUUGAUUAUACUCAUUUCCAUUAUGUUUCUGUUUUUCUCAGCGAUCUUGAAUUGCUAGUGAAUGGAAAAUUAAGUAAAAGUUUGAUACGAUGAUUUAAUUUGACACAUGUGUUCUUACAUUGUUUUGAUGUUAAUCCAUGGCUUAAUAUGAAUCACAGGGUCUAGGACUGUUAACGUUAUCAGCUAUGCUUCCUUCUCUCUCCAACUCUGAAUGCCAAGUCGACGAUGAACUCAAAUCAUGCUCUCCUCCUCGCUCGCAAGUGAUUUUGUUUUUCAUCUCCCUUUAUUUGGUCGCCAUUGGGCAAGGUGGACAUAAGCCCUGUGUUCAAGCUUUUGGAGCAGAUCAAUUCGAUGAACAACAUCCAAAGGAGCACAAAGAUAGAAGCUCGUUCUUUAAUUGGUGGUAUUUUACUAUGUGUCUUGGAUGCAUGGCAACUCUUUCGGUCUUGAACUAUAUACAAGACAACCUUAGUUGGGUUCUUGGAUUUGGAAUUCCUUGUAUUGCCAUGAUUCUUGCAUUACUUGUUUUCUUGUUAGGAACAAUGACCUACAGGUUUAACAUUCAGCAGCAAGACAAAAGACCCUUUCGCAGAAUUGGCCGUGUAUUUGUUGCUGCUAUAAGAAAUCGCAGAAUUGGCCGUGAUGGAAUACUUGCUCAUCAAAGUUCUGAACAAUUCGAGUAAGAAUCACAAUGCUAAUUUCUGCUGGUUUUGGAGUCUUAUUCUUAGUCCCAUUUGAGUUUUGUUUUUACGCUAUGUGCAACUUCCUUUACAGUGUUUUGCACAUUGACAGGUUUCUGAACAAAGCGUUGUUGGAGCUAAAGGACGAGGAUUCCAUGGAAGAGGAGAGUUGUAGCCCAAGUGAGGUAGAAGAAGCUAAAGCAGUACUAAGGCUGGUUCCCAUUUGGGCUUCAACUCUGAUUUAUGCAGUGGUGUUUGCUCAAGUUCCAACAUUCUUUACUAAGCAAGGGGUUACUCUGGAGAGAACAAUAUUACCCGGCAUUGACAUAC